UGGGGGGGUAUUAUUUUAUUGUAACAUACAGUAUUGAUAUUUACAUUGAAUAAUAACAGGCGGUGAACAAGAUGUCAGGAGGAAUGCCACAUUUUGUUCCCACUUCAUGACACACAUUCUUUGUAUAUCGUUUCAUUUUACAUUUUUGUGACUGUCCCAUCGAACAAGCUACAACAAAGAUUCCUAAAAUGCAUGGUUGGCAUUAUAUAAAACAAUUGGUAAAUAAUGGUAACUAUUGGUAACUCUAACACUGUGGUGGAGGUUAUGAGGGUGGAUGUUCUGGUAAGGGUCUACCCAGGGAUGGCUCUAGCAGUUUGAAGACCCUAAACGAGAUUUGGUUGCAGGCGAAACAUUUUGGUUCCUCCCCCCUCCUCCGCUCCCGACGGCGGAGAGAAUUUUGUGUGUAGAAUUUUCUUCAAUUCUACACAUUUUGCCAUGACUUACACUUCCAGUUAUUUCAAGGUUUUUUCUUUAUUUUUACUAUUUUCUACAUUGUAGAAUAAUAAUGAAAACAUCAAAACCAUGAAAUAACACAUUUGGAAUCAUUAGUAACCAAAAAAGUGUCAGACAAAUCAAAUAGUCACCCUUUGCCUUCAUGACAGCUUUCCACAUGCUUGGCAUUCUCUCAACCAGCUCCACGAGGUAGUCACCUGGAAUGUAUUUCAAUUGACAGGAUAAUUUGUGGAAUUUGUUUCCUUCUUAAUGCAUUUGAGCCAAUCAGUGUGUUGUGACAAGGUAGGGGAGUAUACAGAACAUAACCCUAUUUGGUAAUAGACCAAGUCCAUAUUAUGGCAAGAACAGCUCAAAUAAGCAAAGAGAAACUACAGUCCAUCAUUACUUUAAGACAUGAAGGUCAGUCGAUACAGAACAUUUCAAGAACUUUGAAAGUUUCUUCAAGUGCAGUCGCAAAAACCAUCAAGCGCAAUGAUUACAUUGGCGCUCAUGAGGACCGCCACAGGAAAGGAAGACUCAUAGUUACCUCUGCUGCAGAGGAUAAGUUCAUUAGAGCUACCAGCCUCAGAAACUGUGUGAAUCAGGCCUUCAUGAUCAAACCACUACUAAAGGACACCAAUAAUAAGAAGAGACUUGCUUGGGCUAAGAAACAUGAGCAAUGAACUUUAGACGGAUCAACAUUUGUCCUAUGGUCUGGAGUCCAAAUUUGAGAUUUUUGGUUCCAACCGCCGUGUCUUUGUGAGACGAGGUGUGGCUGAACGGAUGAUCUCCGCAUGUGUAUUUCCCACCGUAAAGCAUGGAGGAGGUGGUGUGAUGGUGUGGGGGUGCUUUGCUGGUGACACUGUCAGUGAUUUAUUUAGAAUUCAAGGCACAUAACCAGCAUGGUUACCACAGCAUUAUGCAGGGAUACGCCAUCCUACCUGGUUUGGGCUUAGUGGGACUAUCAUUUGUUUUUCAACAGGACAAUGACCCAACACACCUCCAGGCUGUGUAAUAGCUAUUUGACCAAGGAGCGUGAUCAAGUGCUGCAUCAGAUGACCUGACCUCCACAAUCCCACGACCUCAACCAAAUUGAGAUGGUUUGGGAUGAGUCUGACUGCAGAGUGAAGGAAAAGCAGCCAACAAGUGCUCAACAUAUGUGGGAACUCCUUCAAGACGGUUGGAAAAGCAUUCCAAGUGAAGCUGGUUGUGAGAAUGCCAAGAGUGUGCAAAGCUGUCAUCAAGGCAAAGGGUGGAUAUUUGAAGAAUCUCAAAUAUAUAAAAUAUUUUGAUUUGUUUAAUACUUUUUUGGUUACUACAUGAUUCCAUAUGUGUUAUUUCACAGUUUUGAUGUCUUCACUAUUAUUCUACAAUGUUGAAAAUAGUACAAAUAAAGACAAACUCUUGAAUGAGAAGGUGUUCUAAAACUUUUGACCGGUAGUGUAUGCCAUGUUAAUGAUAUCUGAGUGAGAGUGACUAACAAAAUCAAUGAGGAGGGGGCCCUGGAAGUCAGGGCCUCUGGACACGUGCCCUGCGUGCCUGGUCGAUAUUUGACCAUGAUUACUACAAGCUGGCUAGACUAACUUACCAAUCUAACAGUUGUUAGCAGACAAGGCUAAUUGAGUGACUGUCAGUGACUGACAUAAGAGAAAAACUGCUGAUGCACAACCACAUGUCCAACUUGCACCUGGUGUUACUAUUCUUACUCUCCGUGAGUUGAGACCCCGUCUGAACUUAUGUCACUUAUGCCUGGAGCCGGCCCUGGGUCUACCAGACAGAUAGGGGUCUGAUAGAUCAAUCCAUCGAUAGGAGACUAGUUAUGAAGGGUAGGGGUCAAUAAUAGAUCAAUCUAUCGAUAGGAGACUAGUUAUGAAGGGUAGGGGUCAAUAAUAGAUCAAUCCAUCGAUAGGAAACUAGUUAUGAAGGGUUAAGGUAUAGGUUAGGUUAGGUAUUGGGUAGGUUGACGAGGUGAUGGUGUAACACACACAAUGGUCUCUACACACUCAUCAUCGUCAUCAACAACGAUAAACAACCACUAUGGGGUGGAAAUGGGAGACUGAACCUUUCCAUGCAAAUAAAACAACCACUAUGGGGUGGAAAUGGGAGACUGAACCCUUCCAUACAAAUAAAACAACCACUAUGGGGUGGAAAUGGGAGACUGAACCUUUCCAUGCAAAUAAAACAACCACUAUGGGGUGGAAAUGGGAGACUGAACCUUUCCAUGCAAAUAAAACAACCACUAUGGGGU
Oncorhynchus tshawytscha (Chinook salmon) is the source of this 2680-nucleotide long non-coding RNA. The record is from Ensembl. Lineage: Eukaryota; Metazoa; Chordata; Actinopteri; Salmoniformes; Salmonidae.